AAGCUUGAAGAGUCGACCCUUAUUAAAAAUGAGUUGACCCCCGAAAUUGAAGAGUCGACCCUUGCGUUUGAAGAGUCGACCCUUGUUCAGUCUCAGCGCCGGCUGAAAAACUAAAGAUGAGCCGACUCUUGUGUUUAAAGAAGCGACUCCUAAUGAAGAUGAGUCGACCCUUGUAUUUGAAGAGGCGACUCCUGAUUAAGAUGAGCCGACCCUUAAGAAUUAAGAGUCGACCCUUUGAGGAUGACACAGCAAAAGCCUUUUCGACUAUUUGAAGUGUCGAUCCAGAAUGAACAUGAGUCGACCCCUAAGCUACAUGAGUCGACCCUUGUACUGCUGGGACCAUAACGGAAAGCUGUGAACGACUUUUGUCUUCUUCUGUAACAGAAAAAGAUUCUCAUCAGAACGGGAAGAAAGGAAUUCAAAUCCCACCGAAGAAUUUGUCUAUAAAUACGAGGGAAGCUCAGAAUGGAAACAAAGAGGAAAGGAAAAAGAUUAUAUAAGAAAACAAAAAGGUUUCCACUGAGAAAAAGAGAGUAGAAAAGCUUAACAGUUCAUCAUCCUCACCGGCACUGAAUCUAAAACUUUCUCCUGUGAGGAAAUCAGUCGAAACUUCUCACUACAUUGUGAAGAGCUGCUGUUCGGACAUUGAACAUCCUUCCACAGCCAACUUCUUCAUCAGCUUCAGCUUUUAUUUUCAUUGAUUUACUCAUUAUAUUCUGAAGCUUUGAGUUUUUUUAGUUACAACAGUCUUUUAGUUGGAUUAAUUGUUGCUGUAACAGUUUCAUUGAUUAGAAACUUGUAAAGGCUCUUCCAAGCCUCGAUUGGAAGUUGCUGAAUAGGGAAUAUUCAGUAAGGAAAAAGUUUCUAG
RNAcentral lists this long non-coding RNA (868 nucleotides) under Phoenix dactylifera (date palm). Its description in RNAcentral is "long non-coding RNA (PDAC_LNC017331)". The record is from RNAcentral. Lineage: Eukaryota; Viridiplantae; Streptophyta; Magnoliopsida; Arecales; Arecaceae.